RNAcentral lists this long non-coding RNA (2308 nucleotides) under Taeniopygia guttata (zebra finch). RNAcentral describes it as "lncRNA (ENSTGUG00000024776.1)". The record is from RNAcentral. Lineage: Eukaryota; Metazoa; Chordata; Aves; Passeriformes; Estrildidae.
CGCAGAGCUCAGCCCAGCCCUGAGGGUCUCUCCACCAGGCAGAGGAGGAGGAAUGUGUGUCAUGCUGGAUGGAAAGGGAUUUUUUGGGACUCUGGUGAGACCUCCUGGAUGUGAUCCCAGGGAAGGGAUGACUCGGAGGUGGCUCCACAGGCAUUUCCCUGUGGAUCCCUCAUAGAAGGAAACUGUAAACAAUAAAUCCUGGAAAUUGUUCCACUCUCCCUGCACAUCCCAAAGGCAUCUGGAAAGGCGCCCAGCCCGGGGGAGGACGGUGCAGGCCAUGACACGCUCUGCAGGGACAGGGAUUUGGUGGAAGUGACGCAGAGUUUGGCCCAGCCUGGCCGGAUUCGUGUCACUCCAGGAGUGGCCUUGAUCCCUGUCCUGCCAGAGCCCAGCCUGGAGCUGUGCUGCCUCAGGUCCUCCUCAUGCUGCUCUUCCCAGGGCAGGGGGCUCCCAGAGGAAGGGAUUAUUCAUUUCCAGGAAUGUUUGAAGCAGAGGGAGCUCCUGGACUGCUGCGUCACUGGGGCUGGAGCCGCUGGAGCUGUUUCCAUGAGCGCAGAUUCGGUGAGACACAUGGCGAGUUUUUUAAAGACAAUACUGGAGCCGCCAGAGGAGGAGGCAUUUGACCACUUGGCAUGGAUGAAGAAGACUUGUAUCAACAUCUCCGGGGGCCUGAGCUCAGCUGCUGCUCUGGCAGAAGCUCUGGAGAACCCGGGGCUGGGGGAUCUGUGCUGGGGGAAAACAAAAGAGAAAGGAGGGAUUGCAGCUGAAGCACUGCAGAAGGUCACUGAAUGAAACAAUAAACGUGACAAGCCCAGGAUAAUCCAUGUGCAGGCCAGGCUCGUGUGCCCCGGCCCUGCCCGGGUUAUAUUUGGUGGUGGGUCUGGGCAGGGUUUCCUUUUCUGCCCUGAUGUUUGCUGGGCAGGAAUGAGGGACUGGGAGCCCAUCCUGGGUUUCCUGGGGACGGGCAGGGGGAGGCUCCCUCGCCAGGGAAGGGGAAUGGUACAAACAGAGACGGGGCUGGUCGGACACUGAAUGUUCCUGUCUCACAUUUCUGGCGUGGCCGGGAGGUGUCACAGCCCUGCAGCAUCUUCCUGCUAAAAACAGCCCUGGUGUCCCAGCCCUGUCCCAGCCCUGCCACGGUGCCCAGGACAGUCCGUGUCCAAAGGCCCCUCCCGGAAUGUGGGGCGGGUCCGGGCUGUGUGCUGGGCUGUGAGGGGACCUGGGGGUGACGUGACCUUCUCCAUCCUCUCCUGCUCCAGGAACAGCCUGCCCAGGCCUGUGUCCCCAUCCCUGGGAUUUAUAAGCUGUGCAUGUGACACUUGGGGACAGCAUGUAGGGUGGCAGUGCUGAGGGAAUGGCCGACUCGGUGAUCUUGGAGGGCUUUUCCAGCUUAAUGCCAUGAGUCUUUGAUUUGGAAGGGCCAGGCUGCUCAGGCAGGGCUGGGUUUGAAAGGUUGAGUGCAGCAAGGCCAAAAGCCUGGAGCUGCCUGGGGCAGGGAACGCUGUGCUGGAGCGAUGCUGCUGGCUCGCAGCUCGGGAGAUGUUUGGGCAGUGACAUCUCCCCUGGGCUGCAGCUGGAGGGGGGCUCAGCCCAGCAGGGGCCACUCUGGGAACGUGUGAGACUGGGGGAUGCAGGAGCAGCGAGCCCUGUGCCCGGAAUGUCCUGCCUGGUGUCACUUGUCCUGUCACUUCUCCUCUCAGCCCACGUGCUGAUGGGGCUGGCUGAGAAUGUUUCCCUGUGCUAAGGGGAACUUCAUGGCAGAAUGAAAACAAACACUGCAAGUUUUCCAUUUGGAGGGAUUGUUUGCACUGAAAAGUGAGAUUUUCUGUUCUCUUGCCUGAACACGUUUUUGAUGCAAAGUAGAUGUUUUCCAGUUUUUCAUCUUGUCAAAAAGUCAGCAGCUCUCAAAAGCAGAUUUAUUCCAGCAAAAUACUUUCAGGCUGGAGCUUUUUCUUCCCAUCUCCUUUUCAGCCAGUUUAACUCAUUUUAGCUGUUGGGGUUGGAUGUCUCCUCAUCCGAGUGCCUUCACACAGAAAUUCUUUUCCCAUAUUAGAGAGCAGGAUUUUAGUGCAAGCAAGAAAAACCAUCAACCAGAAGAGUCCCCAUUUUGUUAUUAAAAGCCUGCUGGGCACUGCCCAGGGUCCCAGGGAAUGGGCACGGCCCCAAGGCUGCCAGAGCUCCAGGACCCUUUGAACAGUGCUCCAGGGUGCCCAGGGUGGGAUUUUGGGGGUCUGGGCAGGGCCAGGGGCUGGGCUGGCGAACCUGAGGGUCCCUCCCAGCUCGGCCGGUCCCUGGCUGUGGUUUGCAG